Molecule: long non-coding RNA, 622 nt
Organism: Anneissia japonica
Lineage: Eukaryota; Metazoa; Echinodermata; Crinoidea; Comatulida; Comatulidae
Exons: 3
Source: RefSeq, a predicted model, not a curated record
GCCUCAUCGCCAUAAAGAAUGGUGCAUUAGAAGAAGAAUAAUUAAUUGUAUUUUAUACCACUCCAGGUGGCGUUUUACAUAUAAACAUUACUCAAUGGACGUUGAAGGAGGCUACAAUUAAUAACAAAUUUCAAGACAGACAGUGUAUAUUUAAAUUGGACCUCAUUGGAAAUGCGCUGGACUCUGGCCUAAUGGGCGAUCCUGAUGCUCAUUACGUGAUGUAGGCAAAGAAGAAAUGUCCGGGCUCAAUCGUGAAAGGGCAACAGAACUUACCAAUUAUUCAUAGAUAGCCAAAAAUUGUGUCACUCAUCAAGCAUCAAGCUUCCUGCAAAAAUUCUGGAUAUGAAAUUAAUAAAAAUAUAGUGUGAAUUUUAGUUUUUUUAAAUGUUUUCCUCUGCAAUAAUCUAAAAAAUAAUGUUAGCAAUACGUAGUAAUUCUUGUAGGCUUUAUGUUUAUUAAUAGGCCUAUUGUAUUAUUACUGCUAAUGUUUAUCUUAUUAAUAGAGAAAGUAACUCGUUUGUUGUAAAGAAUAUAGACAUGCAAGAUAAUAAGAUAUAACAUUUUGAAGAUUAAAAUCAGAUUUAUUGAUUUUUGCUGGAUGUACAUGAUAUAGGCCUACAGU